CCCCUAUCAGGGUCACACCUGGAGAGUUUCCAGUACUCUAUCAGUCUCAACUAUGGGAGGGAGAAUGAAGCAGAGGCAUAGCCAUUCCAUUCCUAGUUUGGACAGUGUCUAGUGAAUGGAAGGCAAUCUGCUACAAGU
Non-coding RNA from Ornithorhynchus anatinus (platypus), 138 nucleotides. Lineage: Eukaryota; Metazoa; Chordata; Mammalia; Monotremata; Ornithorhynchidae. The record is from Rfam.